RNAcentral lists this long non-coding RNA (322 nucleotides) under Glycine max (soybean). RNAcentral describes it as "long non-coding RNA (GMAX_LNC001285)". The record is from RNAcentral. Lineage: Eukaryota; Viridiplantae; Streptophyta; Magnoliopsida; Fabales; Fabaceae.
GAUCUUUGAGCUUCAACGAUGUCUUUUAAUGGUGAUUUUCCACCAUGGAGAUGCAGCGAAAGACAAAGGAGAAGAGGUGAGAGGAGGUGCCAUCCACUAGGGAAUAAGCCAUGGAAGAAGGAGUUUCACCACCAAGAUGAGCCUUGGAUAAGAAGCUUGGAAGGAUGCUUCAAUGGAGGAAAAGAAAGAGGGAGAGAAAGAGAGAGGGGGGAGCACGAAAUUGAAGGAAUAAAAGAGGGAGAGAAGUGGAACUUUGAAGUAUGUCUCACAAGACUCUCAUUCAUCAAAGUUACAACAAGUGUUACACAUGCUUCUAUUUAUA